Chrysoperla carnea is the source of this 222-nucleotide long non-coding RNA. RefSeq lists it as uncharacterized. The transcript has 3 exons. The record is from RefSeq and is a predicted model, not a curated record. Lineage: Eukaryota; Metazoa; Arthropoda; Insecta; Neuroptera; Chrysopidae.
GGAAUUGGUUGGGUUCUGAAGUUUUUAACUCUUGCGUUCAAAAACAUGUGUUGUCUACACGCUUGAUUGUAGUUGCGAUUAUGAUUAACUGUAAGAUAGACACACAGAGAGAGAGAGAGAGAGAGAGAGAUAGGAGAAUGUCUGUCAAUUCUAUCUCUUUCCGAGUUAAUAACCGAUUUGGAAGCAGAAGCUUUGUGUUUUGUUUGAUUUGGCCUUCCCAAU